Molecule: ribosomal RNA, 497 nt
Filed under: uncultured bacterium
Lineage: Bacteria
Description: partial 16S ribosomal RNA
Rfam family: Bacterial small subunit ribosomal RNA
Source: RNAcentral
GAUGAACGCUGGCGGCGUGCCUAAUACAUGCAAGUCGAGCGAACAGACGAGGAGCUUGCUCCUCUGACGUUAGCGGCGGACGGGUGAGUAACACGUGGAUAACCUACCUAUAAGACUGGGAUAACUUCGGGAAACCGGAUCUAAUACCGGAUAAUAUAUUGAACCGCAUGGUUCAAUAGUGAAAGACGGUUUUGCUGUCACUUAUAGAUGGAUCCGCGCCGCAUUAGCUAGUUGGUAAGGUAACGGCUUACCAAGGCAACGAUGCGUAGCCGACCUGAGAGGGUGAUCGGCCACACUGGAACUGAGACACGGUCCAGACUCCUACGGGAGGCAGCAGUAGGGAAUCUUCCGCAAUGGGCGAAAGCCUGACGGAGCAACGCCGCGUGAGUGAUGAAGGUCUUCGGAUCGUAAAACUCUGUUAUUAGGGAAGAACAAAUGUGUAAGUAAAUAUGCACGUAUUGACGGUACCUAAUCAGAAAGCCACGGCUAACUACGUG